AUGGAGACCGGGCCGGCUGGCUGCCUCAGCGCCCCUCCCAAGCCCACCUUGCUCGGCCUUCGGUCCAGCGUCCUCUGCCCUCCAGACUCAGGGCCCGGAGCUGAGCACCCGACUCUCUCCAGAGACGGCCCCAGGGAUGCCCCUGGCAGCAUGAGGGAGGCGGGCUGUGUCUCCCGAGGGCCCAAGCCUGUCCUAACGGAGCAGUGGGCCCCCCACCCCCGUCCUCUCCUCCCCUCCACGGCAGGGUCCCCGAAGGCGGCGCCCAGACAUGGGGGUGGCGCUGCCCCGGGGCCCAGCCCCGUUACCCUGUCAUAUGCAGCCACUCAGCCCGCCUGUUCUCCCUGUUUUGCAGACGACGGUGAACAAGGUCAGAGCAAAGCGCUUACCCACGUGUUUGGGCCUCAGUUUCCUCACGUGUCAGCUGCUCCCGGAGCGCUGGGCAGGCUGCCGGCUCAGACCCCUCUAGCAUUUUCGGUGACUCACUUAGACAACAGCCACUUGCGGGAAGUACUUAACAACAGUUGUUCAGGCUCCUGGGUGCUUCCCCAGGCCUGGGAGUUGGUGUGGGUCCGCGCACAGCACGGGCAAUGCUCUGGAAGAGGGGAGUCUCCACGGGGCCAAGAUGCCGCCCUCAGGGGAGGCGAGCCGGUCCCGCGGGGGGGGGGGGCUCGGAGCUCACGCCCGAGUGCGAGCAGGCGACUCCAGAGGGAGCUCGGGGUCAGGGCUGGAGUCCGGCCCAGGAACGGGACGCUGCUUUGCGGAAAGCACUUCAGAGAGAGGCAUGGCCAUCAGACACACCGAGCAUCCCCCCAUCCCCCCGGGAUGUUCUCCAGUCCCCAGCUCCCCGGCCCCCAUCCUGCUUCCGGGACUUGCUUUGCUCAAGGGAGAGACAGGAUGAGGAAAGGGCUGCGAGGGAGGCUGUGGGGACAGUCAGUGAGCCCAGCGCCCAGCUCUGCCUGCACCCCCCAGACCGCACGCUCACAAAGCGUCUGCUCCGUGUCGGGGACGGAGCCGGCUUCCCCACGAGUCUCCGGCCUCCUCCCGGCCUCCUCCCGGCCUCCCCACGAUGGGCCGGUCCUACGCCCACAUUGGAGAUGAGCGCCCCAAGGCCCAGCGAGGCACGGACACUAGAACCCACAUGCCCCGCCCCGUCAGCACUGCCCCCAUCUCUGCUGUGCCUGCCCAAGCCUGGGGAGGGUGGCACCGGAGGAGAGCCCGGCCUGCUGCCGGCCUCUGGCUGCGCUGGGCAGACUGGCCCCUCUGACCGGCUGGCCCGGCGCUGAGGACGGGCUGGGACCUCAAGUCAGAGCCGCUGGCAGGGGGCGGGCAGGGGGUCCCCGGCCGGUCCCUGGGGGCAGUGUGAGGACACACACUCCACGGCCCAGGGGACAGAAGCAAAGGCCGCAGGGUCUGAGGAGCCAGUGGCGGCCACGAGCUUCUGCCCUAGCCCAGCUCAGGUCUGCUUGGGGGGGGGGGGGGGGGGGGCUGACUCUCCCCUGCCCGGCCCCUCUGCUCAGGGCAGAAAGGUCGGGUCUGCUCAAAGCUAACAGCUUCGGUUUACUGACUCCAAACAUGUGGUCAGUUCAAGUGGAAAGAGCUGCGAGCUUGCACGUCGCACACAGUUGGAGAAUUUGGACUUGGGCUCCACGCAGGCGCCCGAAGACUCCCCUGGUGCCCAGCCUCGCCCGCCACACCCCGGCCUAAGCACGGAAGGGGCGCAGAGGGGGCACAGAGGGGGCGCCCUUAGAGGCAAAGGGUCUGAGGCUGGGCUGGAGGCCCCCCUGGAACCUGACCUCAGCGCCAGGUGAGCCCCUGAGCAGAGCCCCCAGCCCGCACGCCAUCUCUUUAGGUAGCGGCCAAGUCAGGCCACGCCCAGCGCCCCCCGCGCCCCCAGCACCCCCCAGUCC
RNAcentral lists this long non-coding RNA (1907 nucleotides) under Suricata suricatta (meerkat). Its description in RNAcentral is "lncRNA (ENSSSUG00005004529.1)". Lineage: Eukaryota; Metazoa; Chordata; Mammalia; Carnivora; Herpestidae. The record is from RNAcentral.